Molecule: ribosomal RNA, 406 nt
Filed under: uncultured bacterium
Lineage: Bacteria
Description: partial 16S ribosomal RNA
Rfam family: Bacterial small subunit ribosomal RNA
Source: RNAcentral
AUUGAACGCUGGCGGCAGGCCUAACACAUGCAAGUCGAGCGAGCGGCGGGCGGGGGUGAGAAGCCUGGGAAAAUGCCUGAUGGAAGGGGAUAACGCUGGGAAACUGUUGAUAAUACCGCGCACGAUAGGAUGAGGCCCGGUGGGUUUAGCUUGUUGGGGGGGGAAUGGCCUACCAAGCCGACGCUCACUAGCUGGUCUGCGAGGAUGACCAGCCACACCGGGACUGAGACACGGCCCGGACUCCUACGGGAGGCAGCAGUGGGGAAUAUUGGGCAAUGGGCGCAACCCUGAUCCAGCCAUGCCGCGUGAAUGAAGAAGGCCUUCGGGUUGUAAAGUUCUUUCGUUAGCGAAGCGGUAACCACAGAAGAAGCACCGGCUAACUCCGUGCCAGCCGCCGCGGUAAUAC